GAGACAGCAGUCGCCGCGGGAAUACGUAGGGUGCAAGCGUUAAUCGGAAUUACUGGGCGUAAAGCGUGCGCAGGCGGUCUGUCAAGUCAGAUGUGAAAUCCCCGGGCUUAACCUGGGAACUGCAUUUGAAACUGGCAGGCUAGAGUCUUGUAGAGGGGGGUAGAAUUCCAGGUGUAGCGGUGAAAUGCGUAGAGAUCUGGAGGAAUACCGGUGGCGAAGGCGGCCCCCUGGACAAAGACUGACGCUCAGGUGCGAAAGCGUGGGGAGCAAACAGGAUUAGAUACCCGAGUAGUCCCUGUCUCUUAUAC
RNAcentral lists this ribosomal RNA (308 nucleotides) under uncultured bacterium. RNAcentral describes it as "partial 16S ribosomal RNA". It matches the Rfam family "Bacterial small subunit ribosomal RNA", at positions 505 to 807 of the family's 1533-position model. The record is from RNAcentral.